RNAcentral lists this ribosomal RNA (32 nucleotides) under Aspergillus oryzae. RNAcentral's name for it is "partial 18S ribosomal RNA". Lineage: Eukaryota; Fungi; Ascomycota; Eurotiomycetes; Eurotiales; Aspergillaceae. The record is from RNAcentral.
CUUCUGUAGGUGAACCUGCGGAAGGAUCAUUA